Molecule: transfer RNA, 73 nt
Filed under: Balneola sp. EhC07
Lineage: Bacteria; Pseudomonadati; Balneolota; Balneolia; Balneolales; Balneolaceae
Also listed under: 5 other names
Rfam family: tRNA
About the family: Transfer RNA (tRNA) molecules are approximately 80 nucleotides in length. Their secondary structure includes four short double-helical elements and three loops (D, anti-codon, and T loops). Further hydrogen bonds mediate the characteristic L-shaped molecular structure. tRNAs have two regions of fundamental functional importance: the anti-codon, which is responsible for specific mRNA codon recognition, and the 3' end, to which the tRNAs corresponding amino acid is attached (by aminoacyl-tRNA synthetases). tRNAs cope with the degeneracy of the genetic code in two manners: having more than one tRNA (with a specific anti-codon) for a particular amino acid; and 'wobble' base-pairing, i.e. permitting non-standard base-pairing at the 3rd anti-codon position.
Source: Rfam by way of RNAcentral
GAUCCGGUAGCUCAGUUGGUAGAGCAACUGCCUUUUAAGCCGUGGGUCGAGGGUUCGAGUCCCUCCCGGAUCA